This 747-nucleotide ribosomal RNA is filed under the name Triticum aestivum (bread wheat). Its description in RNAcentral is "partial small subunit ribosomal RNA". Lineage: Eukaryota; Viridiplantae; Streptophyta; Magnoliopsida; Poales; Poaceae. The record is from RNAcentral.
AUGGAGCAACCCACCGAUCGAUUCGCCAUGGCCACGUUUCUGCUCUUGCUCAUACUUGCCCUCGCCGCCGGCAGCAGCAAGCACGGAGGAGCAGCUGCUGCCGCCGGCGACGCCCGACCUGCCCUUGUCGUCAUGAAGCUGCACGGUCACGACCCCAAGGGCCCCUGCGUGGCCUUCCAGACCCACGACGUCUCCUUAGCCGGCUUCACCAACGGAGGCGGCGACUGGCAGGCUUUCCCAGGCCUCGCCCACCUGUUCCCGACGUCCACGCCCCUCCCGUUCGGCAGCGGCUACGACGACCUCAUCGGCGGCCUCGCCAACCUGCCGGGGGUGCCCCUGGGGCGGCAGGCCAUGGCCGACGCCGCCCGGGUGCUCUCCGCCUACGACCCGUCCGCGGCCGCGGUCGCCGACGUCGAGCCAGUCAAGCGCGCGCUGGCAGCGCUCAAGGUGAUGCUAGUUGAGGCGCAGCGGCUGCAGCCCAUCCACGAGACCGUCGUUCGCGGGUGGGAGAGCGAGUCUCACGUUGCCGCCGAGCACCUGCCCUACAUCGACCACUGGGACACCAUGUCCUACGAGAUCAUCCGCGCCAACCGGACGGGCAAGUGGAACGGGCCCUUCGCCAAGAUGCUGGAGACCCAAGCCAACAUCCGCAGCCAGGAGGAGGCGCUCGCCGUCGUCAGGGUGCUGCUCCGUGCCGACUUCGAGCAGGUGCUCGAGGCUCACGGCACCAAGAUCAACUUCCAGUAA